GGGGGCGUAGCUCAGAUGGUAGAGCGCUCGCUUCGCGUGCGAGAGGUACGGGUAUGGAUACUCUACGUCUCCA
This is a non-coding RNA of Nephila pilipes (giant wood spider), 73 nucleotides long. The record is from the annotation of a GenBank genome assembly. NCBI's taxonomy places the organism in Eukaryota, Metazoa, Arthropoda, Arachnida, Araneae, Nephilidae.